CUAUGGAACUGCCUUUGAUACUGAUAGACUUGAGUUAUUGUGAAGUGGUUAGAAUGUGUAGUGUAGCGGUGAAAUGCAUAGAUAUUACACAGAAUACCGAUUGCGAAGGCAGAUCACUAACAAUAUACUGACACUGAGGGACGAAAGCGUGGGUAGCGAACAGGAUUAGAUACCCUGGUAGUCCACGCCGUAAACGAUGGUCACUAGCUGUUUGACCAACAUUGGUUGGUUGAGUGGCUAAGCGAAAGUGAUAAGUGACCCACCUGGGGAGUACGCUCGCAAGAGUGAAACUCAAAGGAAUGGACGGGGGCCCGCACAAGCGGUGGAGCAUGUGGUUUAAUUCGAUGAUACGCGAGGAACCUUACCAGGGCUUAAAUGUAAGUUGCAUGGACCAGAGAUGGACCUUUCUUCGGACUACUUACAAGGUGCUGCAUGGUUGUCGUCAGCUCGUGCCGUGAGGUGUCAGGUUAAGUCCUAUAACGAGCGCAACCCCUAUCGU
Molecule: ribosomal RNA, 499 nt
Filed under: uncultured Bacteroidota bacterium
Lineage: Bacteria; Pseudomonadati; Bacteroidota
Description: bacterial SSU rRNA
Rfam family: Bacterial small subunit ribosomal RNA
Source: RNAcentral